GUGGGGAAUCUUGCGCAAUGGGCGAAAGCCUGACGCAGCCAUGCCGCGUGAAUGAUGAAGGUCUUAGGAUUGUAAAAUUCUUUCACCGGGGACGAUAAUGACGGUACCCGGAGAAGAAGCUCCGGCUAACUUCGUGCCAGCAGCCGCGGUAAUGCGAAGGGGGCUAGCGUUGCUCGGAAUUACUGGGCGUAAAGGGCGCGUAGGCGGACAGCUUAGUCAGAGGUGAAAGCCCAGGGCUCAACCUUGGAAUUGCCUUUGAUACUGGCUGUCUUGAGUUUGGGAGAGGUGAGUGGAACUCCGAGUGUAGAGGUGAAAUUCGUAGAUAUGCGGAAGAACACCAGUGGCGAAGGCGACUCACUGGCCCAAUACUGACGCUGAGGCGCGAAAGCGUGGGGAGCAAACAGGAUUAGAAACCCGGGUAGUCC
This 425-nucleotide ribosomal RNA is filed under the name uncultured bacterium. Its description in RNAcentral is "partial 16S ribosomal RNA". It matches the Rfam family "Bacterial small subunit ribosomal RNA", at positions 354 to 796 of the family's 1533-position model. The record is from RNAcentral.